This 423-nucleotide ribosomal RNA is filed under the name uncultured archaeon. RNAcentral describes it as "partial 16S ribosomal RNA". It matches the Rfam family "Archaeal small subunit ribosomal RNA", at positions 323 to 746 of the family's 1478-position model. The record is from RNAcentral.
CUACGGGACGCUGCAGUCACGGAAACUUUACAAUGCGCGAAAGCGUGAUAAGGGUAUCCCAAGUGCUUUGCUUAUUGUAAGGCUUUUGCCAAGUGUAAAGAGCUUGGCGAAUAAGUGGUGGGUAAGACUGGUGCCAGCCGCCGCGGUAACACCGAGCGCCACAAGUGGUAACCACGUUUAUUGGGCCUAAAGCGUUCGUAGCCGGUUUGAUAAGUUUCUUGUGAAAUUGUUUGGCCUAACCAAACAACGUGCAAGAAAUACUGUCUAACUUGGGACCGGGAGGAGUUAGAGGUAUUCCAUGGGGAGCGGUAAAAUGCUAUAAUCCUUGGAGGACCACCAAUGGCAAAGGCUUCUAACUAGAACGGAUCCGACGGUCAGGAACGAAGGCUAGGGGAGCAAAACGGAUUAGAUACCCGAGUAGUC